This 379-nucleotide ribosomal RNA is filed under the name uncultured eukaryote. Its description in RNAcentral is "partial 18S ribosomal RNA". It matches the Rfam family "Eukaryotic small subunit ribosomal RNA", at positions 592 to 975 of the family's 1831-position model. The record is from RNAcentral.
CAAUAGCGUAUAUUAAAGUUGUUGCAGUUAGAACGCUCGUAGUCGGAUUUCGGGGCGGGCCGACCGGUCUGCCGAUGGGUACGCACUGGUCGGCGCGUCCUUCCUUCCGGAGACCGUGCCUACUCUUAACUGAGCGGGGGCGGGAGACGGAUCGUUUACUUUGAAAAAAUCAGAGUGUUUCAAGCAGGCAGCUCGCUCUUGCAUGGAUUAGCAUGGGAUAAUGAAAUAGGACUUUGGUGCUAUUUUGUUGGUUUCGAACACCGAAGUAAUGAUUAAAAGGGACAGUCAGGGGCACUCGUAUUCCGCCGAGAGAGGUGAAAUUCUCAGACCAGCGGAAGACGAACUACUGCGAAAGCAUUUGCCAGGGAUGUUUNCACUG